This 429-nucleotide ribosomal RNA is filed under the name uncultured archaeon. RNAcentral's name for it is "bacterial SSU rRNA". It matches the Rfam family "Archaeal small subunit ribosomal RNA", at positions 474 to 903 of the family's 1478-position model. The record is from RNAcentral.
UACCAGCUCUCCGAGUGGUGUGGAUGUUUAUUGGGCCUAAAGCAUCCGUAGCUGGCUGGGCAAGUCCCCUGUUAAAUCCACCGAUUUAAUCGUUGGUGUGCGGGGGAUACUGUUCGACUAGGGGACGGGAGAGGCCGACGGUAUUUUCGGGGUAGGGGUGAAAUCCUAUAAUCCCGGGAAGACCACCAGUGGCGAAGGCUGUCGGCUAGAACGCGCCCGACGGUGAGGGAUGAAAGCUGGGGGAGCGAACCGGAUUAGAUACCCGGGUAGUCCCAGCUGUAAACGAUGCAGGCUAGGUGUUUGGGCGGCCACGUGCCGCUCUAGUGCCGCAGAGAAGCCGUUAAGCCUGCCGCCUGGGGAGUACGGCCGCAAGGCUGAAACUUAAAGGAAUUGGCGGGGGAACACCACAAGGGGUGAAGCUUGCGGUUU